CCCUUAGAUGUUCUGGGCCGCACGCGUGCUACACUGAAGCUAUCAACACGUUUUCCCUCCCUGAGAAGGGCGGGUAACCUUUUGAAUCAGCUUCGUGGUAGGGAUCGGGGCUUGCAAUUGUUCCCCGUGAACCAGGAAUUCCUAGUAGACGCGAGUCAUAAGCUCGCAUCGAUUAAGUCCCUGCCCUUUGUACACACCGCCCGUCGCUACUACCGAUUGAACGUUUUAGUGAGGCAUUUGGACCGACGCAUCUCAGUUUAACCGCUGGUUUGUGUUGGAAAGACUUCCAAACUUGAGCGUUUAGAGGAAGUAAAAGUCGUAACA
RNAcentral lists this ribosomal RNA (324 nucleotides) under uncultured eukaryote. RNAcentral describes it as "partial 18S ribosomal RNA". It matches the Rfam family "Eukaryotic small subunit ribosomal RNA", at positions 1470 to 1796 of the family's 1831-position model. The record is from RNAcentral.